This 465-nucleotide ribosomal RNA is filed under the name uncultured bacterium. Its description in RNAcentral is "partial 16S ribosomal RNA". It matches the Rfam family "Bacterial small subunit ribosomal RNA", at positions 338 to 795 of the family's 1533-position model. The record is from RNAcentral.
CCUACGGAGGGCAGCAGUGGGGAAUCUUGCGCAAUGCUCGUAAGAGUGACGCAGCGACGCCGCGUGAAUGACGAAGGCCUUCGGGUCGUAAAGUUCUUUCGACAGGGAAGAAAAUGCCUAUAAGUAACUGUGUAUGUAUUGACGGUACCUGUAUAAGCAGCCCCGGCUAACUCCGUGCCAGCUGCCGCGGUAAUACGGAGGGGGCGAGCGUUGUUCGGAGUUACUGGGCGUAAAGAGCGCGUAGGCGGUGUUGUAAGUCAUUAGUCAAAGACUAGAGCUCAACUUUAGUAAGGCUAGUGAUACUAUAAUACUAGAGUAUCAGAGAGGAUUGCAGAAUUCCUGGUGUAGCGGUGAAAUGCGUAGAUAUCAGGAGGAAUACCGUUAGCGAAGGCGGCAAUCUGGCUGGAAACUGACGCUGAGGUGCGAAAGCGUGGGUAGCAAACAGGAUUAGAUACCCUUGUAGUC